GUCUCCUUAUGGAUUUUAGCCUGGCCCGGAGCCCAGGGCCCAAGUGCCAGGGUGGAGGGUCAAGCAAAGGGAAGGAUCAGGGGACUCCAGCAGCAAACCCAACCCUGCUCCUGACAGGCUGCGUGACCUGAGACAGCCCCUUCCUUGGCCAGAGCUUUUGUUUCCAGGGUCUUAUGUAUCCCAGGAAGGCUACCAUCAGCGAUGGCGUUAAACUUCUGAUCCUCAUGCCUUCAUCUCCCAGUCCUAGGCUCCCAGGAUGGCUUGACCAGCAGCCCGCCCGCCAGGCUACAUGGCUGGACUUUUGUGUCUGUACACAGCUCCUGCCUGAAUCUAGAGCCAACCCUGCAGCGGGGCUUCUUGUGGACUGGGUGUCCUCUGGUCCCGGCUCACCUCAUUGCUUCUGGCAAUGACUCCGGUGGCUGCGGUGACCAGUUGGACGAGGCCCAGCAGCCGCCCAGACUUAUGUCAAUAGAUCCUCAGUCAGUUCUGUCCCUUUCGGUUUGCGUCUUGCGGUCUUGCAUCUCAGGCCCUCCAGGCUCACUCCAGAACUGUGAUUUUCCUAUGGCUGAGUCACCUCCAGAAAGACAAUAAAGUAGGUGAUUAAAAAGUGCUUCGGCUCCUGGGAUUUCCCAUCUGUUUACAGGAAUCCAGAGCAAAGACAGAAGUUCCUGGUGUGAGUGAAACAGGAGCCUCUGCAGAGGCCCAGGGAGACCAUUCCCUCAGAGUAGGGGGUCCAGAGGGCCUGGCCAGGGCCACCCUGGUAGUGCUCCCCUAGUAGUGCUCCCCGAAGACUGGCCACAUCUCCCUCAGACUGGAGCCCCCUGAGAAGGAGCUGUGUCUCUCUCGUACUGAACUUCCUGAGGAACGAGUCCGGUCUCGUUUUCCUCCCCAAGCCCACUCUAUCGGAGGGCUGCUGGUGCUCUAGCGGUGCUCCUGGACCUGACUGGAACAGGGCGCAUGUCUCUGUCUUCACAUGAGGA
This is a long non-coding RNA of Peromyscus maniculatus bairdii (prairie deer mouse), 980 nucleotides long. RefSeq lists it as uncharacterized. NCBI's taxonomy places the organism in Eukaryota, Metazoa, Chordata, Mammalia, Rodentia, Cricetidae. The record is from RefSeq and is a predicted model, not a curated record.